This 1028-nucleotide long non-coding RNA is filed under the name Citrus x clementina. RNAcentral describes it as "Citrus clementina (C. clementina) long non-coding RNA (CCLE_LNC005109)". Lineage: Eukaryota; Viridiplantae; Streptophyta; Magnoliopsida; Sapindales; Rutaceae. The record is from RNAcentral.
AAAACGGGUGGGCUAUAGCCUUGUUGGGGGGCGCGGGCGAAGUUCUUCCGCCGGACUCGGAAUGGGGCGAGACUUUGCGAGGGGCCUCGGGGUGCCAAAAAUAAGCCGCGGGCAAAGCCGUGCCCAAAAAUAAGCGCCCGAAGGUCGUGGUGCCAAAACCCCCCAGCGGAAAAAUGGCCAAAAAACGGGUGGGCUAUAGUCUUGGUGGGGGGCGCGGGCGAAGUUCGUCCGCCGGACUCGGAAUGGGGCGAGCCUUUGCGCAGGGCCUCGGGGCGCAAAAAAUAAGCGGCGGGCAAAGCCGCGCCCAAAAAUAAGCGCCCGAAGGUCGUGGUGCCAAAACCCCCAGCGGAAAAAUGGCCAAAAAACGGGUGGGCUAUAGCCUUGGUGGGGGGCGCGGGCGAAGUUCGUCCGCCGGACUCGGAAUGGGGCGUGACUUUGCGCAGGGCCUCGGGGCACCAAAAAUAAGCCGCGGGCAAAGCCGCGCCCAAAAAUAAGCACCCGAAGGUCGUGGUGCCAAAACCCCCCAGCGGAAAAAUGGCCAAAAAACGGGUGGGCUAUAGCCUUGGUGGGGGGCGCGGGCGAAGUUCGUCCGCCGGACUCGGAAUGGGGCGAGACUUUGCGAGGGGCCUCGGGGUACCCGCGGGAAGUCGCGGGCACAGCCGCAUCCAGAAAUAAGCGCCCGAAGGUCGUGGUGCCAAAACCCCCCAGCGGAAAAAUGGCCAAAAAACGGGUGGGCUAUAGCCUUGGUGGGGGGCGCGGGCGAAGUUCGUCCGCCGGACUCGGAAUGGGGCGAGACUUCGCGCAGGGUGUCGGGGCGCCAAAAAUAAGCCGCGGGAAAUUCCGCGCCCAAAAAUAAGCGCCCGAAGGUCGUGGUGCCAAAACCCCCCAGCGGAAAAAUGGCCAAAAAACGGGUGGGCUAUAGCCUUGGUGGGGGGCGCGGGCGAAGUUCGUCCGCCGGACUCGGAAUGGGGCGAGACUUUGCGCAGGGCCUCGGGGCGCCAAAAAUAAGCCGCGGGCAAAGCCGCGCC